GGUGGUGGCAUUUAGCAUUCACUUUGAUGUAGCGACUGGCUUUACUGUUUAGUAUAUGUUACUACUCUAUCUCUUCUUGAGAUUUUAUAAGUA
This is a long non-coding RNA of Octopus sinensis (East Asian common octopus), 93 nucleotides long. RefSeq lists it as uncharacterized. The transcript has 3 exons. The record is from RefSeq and is a predicted model, not a curated record. NCBI's taxonomy places the organism in Eukaryota, Metazoa, Mollusca, Cephalopoda, Octopoda, Octopodidae.